Molecule: ribosomal RNA, 582 nt
Filed under: Lasiodiplodia theobromae
Lineage: Eukaryota; Fungi; Ascomycota; Dothideomycetes; Botryosphaeriales; Botryosphaeriaceae
Description: eukaryotic LSU rRNA
Rfam family: 5.8S ribosomal RNA (bases 207-360)
Source: RNAcentral
UCUUGGUCAUUUAGAGGAAGUAAAAGUCGUAACAAGGUUUCCGUAGGUGAACCUGCGGAAGGAUCAUUACCGAGUUUUCGAGCUCCGGCUCGACUCUCCCACCCUUUGUGAACGUACCUCUGUUGCUUUGGCGGCUCCGGCCGCCAAAGGACCUUCAAACUCCAGUCAGUAAACGCAGACGUCUGAUAAACAAGUUAAUAAACUAAAACUUUCAACAACGGAUCUCUUGGUUCUGGCAUCGAUGAAGAACGCAGCGAAAUGCGAUAAGUAAUGUGAAUUGCAGAAUUCAGUGAAUCAUCGAAUCUUUGAACGCACAUUGCGCCCCUUGGUAUUCCGGGGGGCAUGCCUGUUCGAGCGUCAUUACAACCCUCAAGCUCUGCUUGGAAUUGGGCACCGUCCUCACUGCGGACGCGCCUCAAAGACCUCGGCGGUGGCUGUUCAGCCCUCAAGCGUAGUAGAAUACACCUCGCUUUGGAGCGGUUGGCGUCGCCCGCCGGACGAACCUUCUGAACUUUUCUCAAGGUUGACCUCGGAUCAGGUAGGGAUACCCGCUGAACUUAAGCAUAUCAAUAAGCGGAGGAA